GGGAUUUUGCGCANGGGGGAACCCUGNCGCAGCAACGCCGCGUGGAGGAUGAAGUCCUUCGGGACGUAAACUCCUUUCGAUCGGGACGAUUAUGACGGUACCGGAAGAAGAAGCCCCGGCUAACUUCGUGCCAGCAGCCGCGGUAAUACGAGGGGGGCGAGCGUUGUUCGGAAUUAUUGGGCGUAAAGGGUGCGUAGGCGGUUUGGUAAGUCUGAUGUGAAAUCUAUGGGCUCAACUCAUAGUCUGCAUCGGAAACUGCCGGGCUUGAGUGUGGGAGAGGUGAGUGGAAUUUCCGGUGUAGCGGUGAAAUGCGUAGAUAUCGGAAGGAACACCUGUGGCGAAAGCGGCUCACUGGACCAUAACUGACGCUGAUGCACGAAAGCUAGGGGAGCAAACAGGAUUAGAUACCCUGGUAGUCCUAGCCCUAAACGAUGACUGCUUGGUGUGACGGGUACCCAAUCCCGCCGUGCCGUAGCUAACGCGUUAAGCAGUCCGCCUGGGGAGUACGGUCGCAAGGCUGAAACUCAAAAGAAUUGACGGA
Molecule: ribosomal RNA, 541 nt
Filed under: uncultured bacterium
Lineage: Bacteria
Description: bacterial SSU rRNA
Rfam family: Bacterial small subunit ribosomal RNA
Source: RNAcentral